ACUUGACAAAGAACAAUUUUAUCAUAGGAGACUUAUAUCUGAGAUGCUGCAUAUUAAGAUGCAGAAAAAUGGCAUAAAUUUAAUGAAGAAUACGGACCUGCUCGAUCCUAUCUACUCUCCUUUAAUUUUGAAAUUGAGUGGUUGAUUUUGCGUUUGCGCUCUCUCGUCCUUCUCGGACUUAUCUUUCUCUCUUCCGACCUUAUCAUUUUGUUUUCUCGCAUUUAUGUUACGCAUUCUGUAAAUCGUGCGAGAUGUUUGUGCCGUUGAGCGUUGCUGUAUGACGAUUGUGUGGGAGUUUUCAACGACUUUGUAUGAUUUACUAAUUUUACAAUAUGAUGCAAGGACGAAUUGACUUGUCAACAAUUUUGUCUAUUGCUUUCUCGUCUUGAAUUCUCUCAUGUUGUCGGCGCUCAGUAACGUAUUUAGAUUAUUUAUCUUUAAGUGUGGCUGAUGAUGAUCAAAAUAAAGGAGGAUCAAAACGUUCC
This is a long non-coding RNA of Pseudomyrmex gracilis, 485 nucleotides long. RefSeq lists it as uncharacterized. The transcript is spliced from 3 exons. Lineage: Eukaryota; Metazoa; Arthropoda; Insecta; Hymenoptera; Formicidae. The record is from RefSeq and is a predicted model, not a curated record.